UUAGCUCAUAUUUGUAUGAAAUGGGAUCGUUUGCGUACGUUUACCGCUAGGGGCGCUGUUCCAACUGCAUACAAAAUUGGCGUA
This 84-nucleotide microRNA precursor is filed under the name Bombyx mori (domestic silkworm). RNAcentral describes it as "mir-2807 microRNA precursor family". It matches the Rfam family "mir-2807 microRNA precursor family". The record is from Rfam by way of RNAcentral. Lineage: Eukaryota; Metazoa; Arthropoda; Insecta; Lepidoptera; Bombycidae.